GCAAGGCACUGAAAAUGCCUAGAUGAGUCAUGAGACUCCAUAAACA
This 46-nucleotide transfer RNA is filed under the name Odobenus rosmarus rosmarus (Atlantic walrus). RNAcentral describes it as "partial tRNA-Phe". Lineage: Eukaryota; Metazoa; Chordata; Mammalia; Carnivora; Odobenidae. The record is from RNAcentral.